This 486-nucleotide ribosomal RNA is filed under the name Ceratocystiopsis longispora. Its description in RNAcentral is "SSU rRNA". It matches the Rfam family "Eukaryotic small subunit ribosomal RNA", at positions 405 to 895 of the family's 1831-position model. Lineage: Eukaryota; Fungi; Ascomycota; Sordariomycetes; Ophiostomatales; Ophiostomataceae. The record is from RNAcentral.
GGCUACUACAUCCAAGGAAGGCAGCAGGCGCGCAAAUUACCCAAUCCCGACACGGGGAGGUAGUGACAAUAAAUACUGAUACAGGGCCCUUUUGGGUCUUGUAAUUGGAAUGAGUACAAAUUAAUUUCCCUUAACGAGGAACAAUUGGAGGGCAAGUCUGGUGCCAGCAGCCGCGGUAAUUCCAGCUCCAAUAGCGUAUAUUAAAGUUGUUGCAGUUAAAAAGCUCGUAGUUGAACCUUGGGCCUGGCUGGCCGGUCCGCCUCACCGCGUGCACUGGUCCGGCCGGGCCUUUCCCUCUGGGGAGCCGCAUGCCCUUCACUGGGUGUGUCGGGGAACCAGGACGUUUACUUUGAAAAAAUUAGAGUGUUCAAAGCAGGCUUUUGCUCGAAUACAUUAGCAUGGAAUAAUAGAAUAGGACGUGUGGUUCUAUUUUGUUGGUUUCUAGGACCGCCGUAAUGAUUAAUAGGGACAGUCGGGGGCAUCAGU